GUGCUCUGAUGUUCACCUCCUCUGUGAAUUUUUUUUUCUUUUUGAGAUGGAGUCUUACUCUGUGACCCAGGCUGGAAUGAUCAUGGCUCACUGUAGCCUCAACCUCCUGGGCUCAAGUAAUCCCACCCCAGCCUCCUGCGUAGGGCUACAGGCGGUGCCACUACACCUAGCUAAUUUUAUUUUUGUAGAGACAGGGUCUCACUAUGUUCCCCAGGCUGAUCUCAAACUCCUGGGCUCAAGCAAUCCUCCCACCUCAGCCUCCCGGUGCUGGGAUUACAGGCAUGGGCCACCGUUUCCAGCCUGUGAAUUGAUCUUGAUUUGGGUUCUUUGAGAGCAGCCAGCAGGCUGUGCUGUGUCUGACAUGUAGAAUUCCUGGAUAGCAAGGCUUAGAAGCAGGAGAACUAGCUCUUGUAAGAUCCUGGCUCUGGUCACUCCUGUUCAUUCCAGAGCUGAGGGAUCCAACUGACCCUCUGUCUCCACUACCCUUGACUGCUCACUCCUGGAAAUUCACCAGUCUACAUGUGCUCUGCAGAGGUUAGGACUCCUAGGACAUCAAGUGGUAACUCAUCAUUAUCACCAUCACACAGCAGCUGGAACCAGCAGCCUCACCAGGCCUUUCUCCUUUAAUAAUGACAAACAUGGUGUGCAGUCUGGGCCACUUAAUCCUGUUCUGCAGAUGGGGACUCUGAGACAUAAAGAGGUAAAGAUCAUGCAGGUGACAAAGCUAGCUGAAGAUUAGUAUUAUGAGAUAUGAGAAUAGUAACUGAAGGGUUGAUUUGUAAAUGUGAAAAAUUGGAAAUCAGCCUUGAUUUCCAACAAUAGGGUAUUGAUGUGUAAUACAACCACACAGUAGGGUAUUGUAUAGCGACUAAGAAUGAUACAGCAGUAUUUGUUGACCUGGGAACAUUUUUCACAAUAUGCUUUAAAAAAAGAUAGAUAAGUGCUUAUUAAUAAUAUAGGUACAGGGACUCAAGUCAAAGUGGGGAUAUAUUCUAAACUCUGGCGACCAAUUUCCUAAACCAUGUAGUUUUUGCUAUAGAAAACAUCUAGCUGUGGGUCUACUUGUAAUACUCAGUAUAUUACCUUAUUUCAUAUGCCAUUUAUUUUUUCUUUAUGAAAAUGGUGUCAUUCAUCUUUAUUAAUGUAGUUGAAAUUCAUAAACUUUCUGUGUGAAUCAUUUAAUCAAGAAAAAUGUGUUACGGGGAUAGAUUUUAUAUAAAUGAGAAUGAAAUGAAAUGUUUCAUUAAAAUAUGUAAAAGUUGCCCAGUAUAUCUUAAGGAGAAAUCGUAUGUGUAUAAUAUUAUUGUAUUUUUGUAAGAUAAAACAAAUGUUGUAAGACCUUAAAAAUAUUGUUAGGAGAAAAAAAUACACGUAUGCAUAGAAAAAUGUCUAGAAGGAUAAAUGCUAAAAUGUUCAUCCUGGACCUCUGCAAGAUGGGGCUAUGGGUGAUUUUUUACCCCUUCCUUUAUUGUUCACCUGUAUUUUCUAAUUUUUCAAUAACGUUCAUGUGUUACUUAUUUAGAAAAGACAGGAGAUGAAUGUUUAAAGUGAUGGAUAUGGUAAUUACCCUGACUUGAUCAUGAUACAAUGUAUAUAUGCAUUGAAACAUCACACUGUACCCCAUAAACAUGUAUGGCUAU
RNAcentral lists this long non-coding RNA (1640 nucleotides) under Homo sapiens (human). Its description in RNAcentral is "novel transcript". Lineage: Eukaryota; Metazoa; Chordata; Mammalia; Primates; Hominidae. The record is from RNAcentral.